AUGGAGUCACCGGCGAGCUCAUGCGUGUCGUCAGAUGCAGAGGUGGAGAUGCCGAUGGUGGUCGCUGGAUGCCCCCAGUGCCUCAUGUACAUGAUGCUCUCGGAUUCAGAAGAAGAGAAGCAACCCAAGUGCCCCAGGUGCAAGAGCCCCGUGUUGCUGCACUUCCACAAGUACUGGGACACGAAGAAUAAGACCUAA
RNAcentral lists this ribosomal RNA (198 nucleotides) under Triticum aestivum (bread wheat). RNAcentral's name for it is "partial small subunit ribosomal RNA". Lineage: Eukaryota; Viridiplantae; Streptophyta; Magnoliopsida; Poales; Poaceae. The record is from RNAcentral.